RNAcentral lists this long non-coding RNA (776 nucleotides) under Vulpes vulpes (red fox). Its description in RNAcentral is "lncRNA (ENSVVUG00000024684.1)". Lineage: Eukaryota; Metazoa; Chordata; Mammalia; Carnivora; Canidae. The record is from RNAcentral.
CAAUCGCUUCCUCUUAAUCUUAAAGAUUGGGCCAGGGCCCACUGUAUGGACCACAAGUCAGAUGGUCAAUUUGUCUUGACCUACUUUGAGCUGAAAAUGAUUGUUCUAGAGAGUGUCAUUUGCCAUGAUGAUACGUGGCCUUCCUACACACAGUGUUCCCAUUGUUUAGCCAUAACCUUCUAGAAUCUGUCUGCAUGGACAGAACAUCAAUCCCUACCUAGACUGGCCUGUGCCUAUAGAAUUUAUACUUCUACAAUGAUUUACUCAAGAGCUAGAUGUAAGACUCAGCUUGAGUUAACAGCCAGUGACACAACGUGAAUUACAGAAGACACAAUGCAACUGCAGGGAUAGACAGCAAAUAUAUUGACUAUGAAUAAGCUGUUUAAUUGGUGUGUGUGUGGUUUCCGACUCUUGUAUGUGUCGUCACACACAGCCUGCUGGUUGGAUCACCAAGUAGAACCUGUGAAAGCAGCACCACUUCUCGGAUGCAUCUUCAGUGGUGCUCACUGCAGGAAUAACAGGUGUGAGACCAUCAUUCUUGGGACUGGGAAAGCCACAAAGGAUAUGAGAGACGGGUUGUAGAUGACCGGUAUCCAUGAAGCAGAGCACAGAUGGAGGAAACGAUGUAUUCAAGGAUGUUCUGUUUCCAAAAGGAAGGAUGGAUGGUGGUAAAUAAUGCCUGGAGUUCGAGAAUUCACCUUCUUUGAGAAGAGCCCAUCAACAAAAAACAAAAGGAGGGAGAAGAAGUAAAAUAAAUACACUAAGAAUAAGUCUCA